UCUAGAGUCUGCACUGGACUCAAACGUUCACACUUAUCGGCUGUUGAGAAGUUCAAGAAACGAGCGCGGGUCUGUAGCUCAGCUGGUUAGAGCACCGUGUUGAUAACGCGGGGGUCGUUGGUUCGAGUCCAACCAGCCCUACCACGGAUCAUGCGGUAGUAAUUCCGAGGGGGAUUAGCUCAGCUGGGAGAGCACCUGCUUUGCAAGCAGGGGGUCGUCGGUUCGAUCCCGUCAUCCUCCACCACUCUGAUUCACUGCAUUUAUCCAAGCCCGGCAGUUGCCGAGUUUCAGUAAGUGUAGUUCUCGUUCUUUAACAAUCUGGAAGAAGUAAAGUUUUCUUUAAGCGUGUAGCCAACGAAAGUUGGACGCACACUUAGGGUAGAAAAUCUGUUGUAUCAACAAACAAAGUAAGCUGUCAUUUGCCUGUGACGUUCCCUGACACUCAUGCAGGGGCCAACGUUAUAGGGACAAGUGUAUAAGUGCACAUGGUGGAUGCCUUGGCGAUUACAGGCGAUGAAGGACGUAGUAGCCUGCGAAAAGCUACGGGGAGCUGGCAAACGAGCUUUGAUCCGUAGAUGU
RNAcentral lists this unclassified non-coding RNA (579 nucleotides) under uncultured beta proteobacterium. Its description in RNAcentral is "partial contains 16S ribosomal RNA, 16S-23S ribosomal RNA intergenic spacer, and 23S ribosomal RNA". The stretch from base 466 to 579 matches the Rfam family "Bacterial large subunit ribosomal RNA", at positions 1 to 113 of the family's 2925-position model. Lineage: Bacteria; Pseudomonadati; Pseudomonadota; Betaproteobacteria. The record is from RNAcentral.